UACGAGAGGUGCUAACGUUAUUCGGAAUUACUGGGCGUACAGGGUGCGUAGACGGCAUAAUAAGUCAACUGUUAAAUUUUCCGGCCUAACCGGAAUCCAGCGGUAGAAACUGUUGUGCUAGAGGGUGGAAGAGAGAAGUGGAAUUCUCGGAGUAGCGGUAAAAUGCGUAGAUCUCGAGAGGAACACCGAUGGCGAAGGCAGCUUCUUGGUCCAUCCCUGACGUUGAGGCACGAAAGCGUGGGGAGCAAACAGG
This 253-nucleotide unclassified non-coding RNA is filed under the name uncultured bacterium. RNAcentral describes it as "contains 16S-23S intergenic spacer region". It matches the Rfam family "Bacterial small subunit ribosomal RNA", at positions 524 to 776 of the family's 1533-position model. The record is from RNAcentral.